This 73-nucleotide transfer RNA is filed under the name Mus musculus (house mouse). RNAcentral's name for it is "tRNA-Ser". Lineage: Eukaryota; Metazoa; Chordata; Mammalia; Rodentia; Muridae. The record is from RNAcentral.
GAGAUGAUGGCUCAGUGGUUAAGAGCAUGGAUUGCUCUUCCAGAGGUCCUGAGUUCAAUUCUCAACAACCACA